GGGUAGGUAGCUCAGGUGGUAGAGCAGCGGACUGAAAAUCCGCGUGUCGCCGGUUCAACUCCGGCCCUGCCCA
RNAcentral lists this transfer RNA (73 nucleotides) under Sedimentisphaerales bacterium. RNAcentral describes it as "tRNA-Phe". It matches the Rfam family "tRNA". Rfam says of the family: Transfer RNA (tRNA) molecules are approximately 80 nucleotides in length. Their secondary structure includes four short double-helical elements and three loops (D, anti-codon, and T loops). Lineage: Bacteria; Pseudomonadati; Planctomycetota; Phycisphaerae; Sedimentisphaerales. The record is from RNAcentral.